This 100-nucleotide transfer RNA is filed under the name Streptomyces nigrescens. RNAcentral describes it as "tRNA-Arg". Lineage: Bacteria; Bacillati; Actinomycetota; Actinomycetes; Kitasatosporales; Streptomycetaceae. The record is from RNAcentral.
GUUCCUGGUGGAGCAGUGGCGCCGUCGCCACACCGGCUUCGACCUGGUGCGGGUGGCGGCCCUGGGCCGGCCGGCGGUGUUCUCGCUCGUCGUGGGCACC